Molecule: long non-coding RNA, 1288 nt
Filed under: Gallus gallus (chicken)
Lineage: Eukaryota; Metazoa; Chordata; Aves; Galliformes; Phasianidae
Description: lncRNA (ENSGALG00010001294.1)
Source: RNAcentral
GUCUGUAUGGGUCCCUAUGUGUCCCUAUGGGUCCCUAUGUGUCUCAAUGUGUCCCUAUGUGUCUCCAUGGGGUCGCUAUGGGUCGCUAUGGGUCGCAAUGUGUCGGUAUGUGUCCCCCUGGUGGCUGUGUGUCUCUAUGUGUCCCUAUGUGUCCCUAUGUGUCUCCAUGGCAUCCCUAUGUGUCUCCAUGGCAUCCCUAUGUGUCCCUAUGUGUCCCUACGUGUCUCCAUGGCAUCCCUAUGGGUCCCUAUGUGUCUCCAUGGGGUCGCUAUGGGUCGCACUGUGUCGGUGUGUGUCCCCCUGGUGGCUGUGUGUCUCUAUGUGUCCCUAUGGGUCCCUAUGUGUCCCUAUGUGUCCCUAUGUGUCCCUAUGGUUCUCUAUGUGUCCCUACGUGUCUCCAUGGCAUCCCUAUGGGUCGCUAUGGGUCGCUAUGGGUCGCUAUGGGUCGCAAUGUGUCGGUAUGUGUCCCCCUGGUGGCUGUGUGUCUCUAUGUGUCCCUAGGUGUCCCUAUGUGUCUCCAUGGCAUCCCUAUGUGUCUCCAUGGCAUCCCUAUGUGUCUCCAUGGCGUCCCUACGGGUCCCUAUGGGUCGCUAUGUGUCGCUCUGUGUCCCCAUGUGUCGGUAUGUGUCCCCAUGGUGGCUGUGUGUCCCUAUGUGUCCCUACGUGUCCCUAUGUGUCUGUAUGUGUCCCUAUGUGUCCCUAUGUGUCCCUAUGUGUCUCAAUGUGUCCCUAUGUGUCUCCAUGGGGUCCCUAUGGGUCGCUAUGGGUUGCAAUGUGUCGGUGUGUGUCCCCCUGGUGGCUGUGUGUCUCUAUGUGUCCCUAUGUGUCUCUAUGUGUCUCUAUGUGUCCCUAUGUGUCUCUAUGUGUCUCUAUGCGUCGCUAUGGGUCUCUGUGGGUCCCUACGUGUCCCUAUGUGUCCCUAUGUGUCUCUAUGGGUCCCUAUGUGUGUCUAUGUGUCCCUAUGGGGUCCCUAUGUGUCUCUAUGGGUCUCUAUGGGUCUCUAUGUGUCUGUAUGUGUCCCUAUGUGUCUCUAUGUGUCUCUGUGCGUCUCUAUGGGUCCCUAUGUGUCUCUAUGUGUCCCUAUGUGUCUCUAUGUGUCCCUAUGGGUCCCUAUGUGUCCCUAUGUGUCCCUAUGUGUCUCUAUGUGUCUCAGUGUGUCUCUAUGUGUCCCUAUGUGUCCCUAUGUGUCUCCAUGGCAUCCCUAUGUGUCUCCAUGGCAUCCCUAUGUGUCCCUAUGUGUCCCUAUGUGUCUCCAUGGGGUCCCUAUGAGUCGCUAUGGGUCGCUAUG